AUUUAUCGGCAAGAGAUGAGCCCGCGUUGGAUUAGCUAGUUGGUGGGGUAAAGGCCUACCAAGGCGACGAUCCAUAGCUGGUCUGAGAGGAUGAUCAGCCACAUUGGGACUGAGACACGGCCCAAACUCCUACGGGAGGCAGCAGUGGGGAAUAUUGGACAAUGGGCGCAAGCCUGAUCCAGCCAUGCCGCGUGAGUGAUGAAGGCCCUAGGGUUGUAAAGCUCUUUCACCGGAGAAGAUAAUGACGGUAUCCGGAGAAGAAGCCCCGGCUAACUUCG
RNAcentral lists this ribosomal RNA (278 nucleotides) under Rhizobium sp. 56(2010). RNAcentral's name for it is "partial 16S ribosomal RNA". It matches the Rfam family "Bacterial small subunit ribosomal RNA", at positions 210 to 505 of the family's 1533-position model. The record is from RNAcentral. Lineage: Bacteria; Pseudomonadati; Pseudomonadota; Alphaproteobacteria; Hyphomicrobiales; Rhizobiaceae.